RNAcentral lists this transfer-messenger RNA (358 nucleotides) under Candidatus Saccharimonadota bacterium. It matches the Rfam family "transfer-messenger RNA". Rfam says of the family: Bacterial tmRNA, also known as 10Sa RNA or SsrA, is named for its dual tRNA and mRNA-like properties. Lineage: Bacteria; Candidatus Saccharimonadota. The record is from RNAcentral.
GGGGCUGACAAAGCUUAGACGGAUUAUUAACAGAUAUCAGGCGUGUCGAUUAAAUACCGUAAGUAUUAAAUAAGUGCUAAAAACACGAAAUCUGUGCAUGUUGCAUACAUGCCAGCUUAUGCCUAAUCUAAUUUAAUAGGCUGGUUCGGUCUUAAGAUUCCGUAGAGGCUGAAUUAUCAUACAACGGAAAUAAGGUUAUCUAAUUGACGAGAGAUGGCUCGAAAAUUCUGUCAUGGCGUUUAUCAGUUUCGUUUACUGCAGCUGAUGAUAUUUGCCGAGAUGAAACAGGAAACUAUGCACGUAGAAUGAUAUCCAAGUGGUAGUUCGGACCCGGAGGCAGUAUCCGGCAGCUCCACCA